AACUCUAGCAAUUAUCUGUCUGUGUGCCUUCACUGUUUUGGAGGAGGCUAUGCCAGAUGAGGAAGAAAAGUGUUCUAGGAAUACCUCUGGAUUAUGUGCACCAAAGAAUGUCAGCUUACUCCCAGUUUUCCCUAUCUGAUGGAUUUCUGCUCCAUGAAUACACAAUGAUGUGUAAGAACUGGAAAGAACAAAGCCCAAGAAAGUCCCCAAAUGGAUCCAUUUCCUCAGGAUGUUGUUUCCAUUCAGAAAAACCAGGGGCCUCAAUACAGU
RNAcentral lists this long non-coding RNA (270 nucleotides) under Mustela putorius furo (domestic ferret). Its description in RNAcentral is "lncRNA (ENSMPUG00000024526.1)". Lineage: Eukaryota; Metazoa; Chordata; Mammalia; Carnivora; Mustelidae. The record is from RNAcentral.